Non-coding RNA from Phrynosoma platyrhinos (Desert horned lizard), 71 nucleotides. Lineage: Eukaryota; Metazoa; Chordata; Lepidosauria; Squamata; Phrynosomatidae. The record is from the annotation of a GenBank genome assembly.
UACAGUGUGGUGCAGUGGUUUGAGUGUUGAACUGUGAUUCUGGAGGCCAGGGUUCAAUUCCCAGCUUGUCC